AUUGAACGCUGGCGGCAGGCCUAACACAUGCAAGUCGAGCGGAUGAGAGGAGCUUGCUCCUUGAUUCAGCGGCGGACGGGUGAGUAAUGCCUAGGAAUCUGCCUGGUAGUGGGGGACAACGUUUCGAAAGGAACGCUAAUACAGCAUACGUCCUACGGGAGAAAGCAGGGGACUUUCGGGCCUUGCGCUAUCAGAUGAGCCUAGGUCGGAUUAGCUAGUUGGUGAGGUAAUGGCUCACAAAGGCGACGAUCCGUAACUGGUCUGAGAGGAUGAUCAGUCACACUGGAACUGAGACACGGUCCAGACUCCUACGGGAGGCAGCAGUGGGGAAUAUUGGACAAUGGGCGAAAGCCUGAUCCAGCCAUUCCGCGUGUGUGAAGAAGGUCUUCGGAUUGUAAAGCACUUUAAGUUGGGAGGAAGGGCAGUAAGUUAAUACCUUGCUGUUUUGACGUUACCGACAGAAUAAGCACCGGCUAACUCUGUGCCAGCCGCCGCAGUAA
Molecule: ribosomal RNA, 500 nt
Filed under: uncultured bacterium
Lineage: Bacteria
Description: partial 16S ribosomal RNA
Rfam family: Bacterial small subunit ribosomal RNA
Source: RNAcentral